Molecule: long non-coding RNA, 520 nt
Organism: Olea europaea var. sylvestris
Lineage: Eukaryota; Viridiplantae; Streptophyta; Magnoliopsida; Lamiales; Oleaceae
Exons: 2
Source: RefSeq, a predicted model, not a curated record
AAAUAUGAGAGUAUCUUGGUAAAACUGAAAUUAUGAACAGUUAAAAUUAAAAUGGGUAAGAACAGCAAAAUGGGACCCUGAAGCCAAGUUUCUGUUUUCUUACUAGAAAGUAAUUAUAUAGAUCAAUGAACUCAUUGAGUUUAUUUUAUAUGAUAAUUUGGAAUAUAUAGAAUUCAGGUAUUAAAAUUUUGAAUAGUAUGGGCUACAGUUACUUCUCUAUUUUGAUAAAAUGAUAUGCCAGAAGCCAUCUUUUUGUGCAAAUUCUACUAUUUUCUAUUAGCUAGACUGUGUUCUACAUCAGUUAACAGUUCAUUUAUGUUUAUAUUCUUCACUAAAAUCUUCUCUGCUCUCCUUAUCUUUUUAUCUGUUAGAUUUAUUUCCUUUUUCUUGUGCAGAUAGGCCAGAUGCUGAACUGACAGCAAAUGCUGAAGAUAGAGUUGAGGGCAAUUCAAGCCUGAAGAGUAGAUGGCAUUCCAGGAAUAACAUUCGUUGAAUGAAGUUUAGAUUAAUAUACAUUUUU